This is a long non-coding RNA of Macrobrachium nipponense, 421 nucleotides long. RefSeq lists it as uncharacterized. The record is from RefSeq and is a predicted model, not a curated record. NCBI's taxonomy places the organism in Eukaryota, Metazoa, Arthropoda, Malacostraca, Decapoda, Palaemonidae. The transcript is spliced from 3 exons.
AUGCCGCGAACUGCGAAGUAUUGGUGUCUUGCUAUUGUCUCGAGUGAACAAAGUGCGAGAAGGAAUUAAGCGGUGUCUUUUAUAUACGAACACAAGUGAGCAUUUCAAGAAUACUCGAAGUCUUUCAUUUGUGCAUAUUUUACCGUUCAUUAUAAAAUCGGGUACAUUUAUACAACGUUAUCUGCAACCUCCAUGGAAACGUCAUCACAAGAUCAAUUGCAUUACGAUUCGGGAAAAAAUAGGAACUUCUGAAUUAAUCGUGAACUGAGGACAGGUAAGUCUGUUUAAUAAUAAUAUUUUGCUGAAGAUGAUCCGUUGUGUCGCCAAAUACUGUUUCAUAGUUUUGUCUAUUGGUUUAUAAUCAAGAGCCAAUGUUAAUAUCACUCAUGUUUUCAUUUUUUGUAUUAUUUGAUCCAUAAAG